This 269-nucleotide ribosomal RNA is filed under the name uncultured bacterium. RNAcentral describes it as "partial 16S ribosomal RNA". It matches the Rfam family "Bacterial small subunit ribosomal RNA", at positions 524 to 776 of the family's 1533-position model. The record is from RNAcentral.
UACGGGGGGGGCAAGCGUUGUUCGGAAUUACUGGGCGUAAAGGGCGCGUAGGCGGCAUGCCAAGCGUGUGGUGAAAGCCCGGGGCUCAACCCCGGGUCGGCCGUGCGGACUGGCGUGCUCGAGCACUGUAGGGGCGGGUGGAAUUCCGGGUGUAGCGGUGGAAUGCGUAGAGAUCCGGAAGAACACCGGUGGCGAAGGCGGCCCGCUGGGCAGGAAGGCUCGCAAGAGCCGGCUGACGCUGAGGCGCGACAGCGUGGGGAGCAAACAGG